This 503-nucleotide ribosomal RNA is filed under the name uncultured bacterium. Its description in RNAcentral is "partial 16S ribosomal RNA". It matches the Rfam family "Bacterial small subunit ribosomal RNA", at positions 30 to 523 of the family's 1533-position model. The record is from RNAcentral.
AUUGAACGCUGGCGGCAGGCUUAACACAUGCAAGUCGAGCGGGGUGAUGGUGCUUGCACUAUCACUUAGCGGCGGACGGGUGAGUAAUGCUUAGGAAUCUGCCUAUUAGUGGGGGACAACAUCUCGAAAGGGAUGCUAAUACCGCAUACGUCCUACGGGGGAAAGCAGGGGAUCACUUGUGACCUUGCGCUAAUAGAUGAGCCUAAGUCGGAUUAGCUAGUUGGUGGGGUAAAGGCCUACCAAGGCGACGAUCUGUAGCGGGUCUGAGAGGAGGAUCCGCCACACUGGGACUGAGACACGGCCCAGACUCCUACGGGAGGCAGCAGUGGGGAAUAUUGGACAAUGGGGGGAACCCUGAUCCAGCCAUGCCGCGUGUGUGAAGAAGGCCUUAUGGUUGUAAAGCACUUUAAGCGAGGAGGAGGCUCUUUUGGUUAAUACCCAGAAUGAGUGGGCGUUACUCGCAGAAUAAGCACCGGCUAACUCUGUGCCAGCCGCCGCCGUAC